CCUACGGGAGGCAGCAGUGGGGGAUUUUGCACAAUGGGGGGAACCCUGAUGCAGCGACGCCGCGUGGGUGAAGGAGUGCUUCGGCAUGUAAAGCCCUAUCGGCAGGGAAGAAGCAAGACGGUACCUGACUAAUAAGCCCCGGCUAACUACGUGCCAGCAGCCGCGGUAAUACGUAGGGGGCGAACGGUAGCCGGAUGCACUGGGGGGAAAGGGAGCGUAGAUGGGCAGGCAAGCCAGGAGUGCAAGCCCGGGGCCCAACCCCGGGAUAGCCCUGGGAACUUCAUUGCUGGAGUGCGGGAGGGGCAGGCGGAAGUCCAGGUGUAGCGGUGAAAUGCGUAGAUAUCAGGAGGAACACCGGCGGCGAAGGCGGCCUGCUGGACCGCGACUGACGUUGAGGCUCGAAAGCGUGGGGAGCGAACAGGAUUAGAUACCCGGGUAGUC
RNAcentral lists this ribosomal RNA (441 nucleotides) under uncultured bacterium. RNAcentral describes it as "partial 16S ribosomal RNA". It matches the Rfam family "Bacterial small subunit ribosomal RNA", at positions 338 to 795 of the family's 1533-position model. The record is from RNAcentral.